GCAAGGAAUCUUGGGCAAUGGGCGAAAGCCUGACCCAGCAACGCCGCGUGGGGGAUGAAUGCCUUCGGGUUGUAAACCCCUUUUCUCAGGGAAGAAUAAUGACGGUACCUGAGGAAUAAGCCUCGGCUAACUACGUGCCAGCAGCCGCGGUAAUACGUAGGAGGCGAGCGUUAUCCGGAUUUAUUGGGCGUAAAGAGGGCGUAGGCGGCUUUUCAAGUCGGAUGUGAAAUUUCCCGGCUCAACCGGGAAGGGUCAUUCGAAACUGAUGGGCUAGAGGACGGCAGGAGGAGAUGGAAUUCCCGGUGUAGUGGUGAUAUGCGUAGAUAUCGGGAGGAACACCAGAGGCGAAGGCGAUCUCCUAGGCUGUAUCUGACGCUGAGGCCCGAAAGCGUGGGGAGCGAACAGGAUUAGAUACCCUGGUAGUCC
RNAcentral lists this ribosomal RNA (426 nucleotides) under uncultured bacterium. RNAcentral describes it as "bacterial SSU rRNA". It matches the Rfam family "Bacterial small subunit ribosomal RNA", at positions 354 to 796 of the family's 1533-position model. The record is from RNAcentral.